UACGUAGGGUGCGAGCGUUGUCCGGAAUUAUUGGGCGUAAAGGGCUCGUAGGCGGUUUGUCGCGUCGGGAGUGAAAACUCAGGGCUUAACCCUGAGCCUGCUUCCGAUACGGGCAGACUAGAGGUAUGCAGGGGAGAACGGAAUUCCUGGUGUAGCGGUGAAAUGCGCAGAUAUCAGGAGGAACACCGGUGGCGAAGGCGGUUCUCUGGGCAUUACCUGACGCUGAGGAGCGAAAGCCAGGGGAGCAAACAGG
RNAcentral lists this ribosomal RNA (253 nucleotides) under uncultured bacterium. RNAcentral's name for it is "partial 16S ribosomal RNA". It matches the Rfam family "Bacterial small subunit ribosomal RNA", at positions 524 to 776 of the family's 1533-position model. The record is from RNAcentral.